This 209-nucleotide ribosomal RNA is filed under the name uncultured bacterium. RNAcentral describes it as "partial 16S ribosomal RNA". It matches the Rfam family "Bacterial small subunit ribosomal RNA", at positions 568 to 776 of the family's 1533-position model. The record is from RNAcentral.
CGCGUAGGCGGGGAGGUAAGUCGGGUGUGAAAUCCCUCGGCCCAACUGAGGAACUGCGCCCGAGACUGCUUCUCUUGAGUCCCGGAGAGGAAGAUGGAAUUCCCGGUGUAGCGGUGAAAUGUGUAGAGAUCGGGAGGAACACCGGUGGCGAAGGCGGUCUUCUGGACGGUGACUGACGCUGAGGCGCGAAAGCGUGGGGAGCAAAACGG